CAUCUAUCAAAUGGUACGUAAUAAAAACGUAUCUGUACGAGAGAUGCACCAUCUAAAAGAAAUUUAUCAGCAUGUGGACUUUAAACGUUGGUUGUUACUUGUUGUAUAUUGAAUCGUUGAUGUCACAACUCCUGCGGAGUAACACCUACCGUCUUAAGCCACCAAACGACAUUCCACUGAAUUUGAGAAAAGGCGAGUAUGAGAAACCAUACGUGCAAACCAAAAGAACACCGUAAUGGGACGCUAGAUGCUUCACAUGCCGGUGAGACGCACGUGUUUAAUAAUGCGGACACCUCUUCCAUCAAUGACGAUGGUAUCUGAAUCUGUCACACCGAUCCUUCCAUUAUCGAUUGACAUCAUUUUGCGGGGCACAAAGUCGGGACAGAUCGGAUAUUUCCCAAAUGCUAAAUAGAUCAGCACAGAUACAAAAUAUAGGAUUGUAUCUACAGCGUUCUCAAGCGUAGUCUGAUGACACUUACGGUCGGCGAUAUGUUUUGGGGCAACAUGUGCAACGCCUGUUGUGUGAAUGCUUCUGAUGUGUUGAACACACAGUGAAAGUGGCUCCACGUGCAAAUUCCGGAAGUAGCUGCUCAUCGAACACGGCUUGGAACUGUCUGUGUAGAAAUGAUUUGUCUCAGUACUUCUUAACCAAACACCAGCGUCUAAACGACGGUAAUAUUAAUGAUGUUUUUCGGAAGAAGUUUUUCACCAACAGCCGCCUGAAUAAUCACAUGAACGUAAACAGGUGAGCGACGUUAUUCUCGUGCACCAUCUGCGACCGGAAUUUCUCCAAAACAGUUUUCUCUGACGCAGCAGUACUGAUACCAUAGAGACAAUGAUAGUUUUUAUUGCGUCUACUUCGCACUGAAACAGCACGUGUGAUUGCGCGGAACACGGGAGACUUUUUACUGGCAGUUUAUGAUCAAAGUGAAACUGCAUUUGUGCUCACAUAGAUAGUCCAUAACACUGGUCAUGUACGCUUAUUCUUAACUGGAAUCGUUUCAAAACAUAUAAUUAUUAUUUCGAAUAAUGUUCUUACACGGUAUGCAUGUCCAUGCUUUCAAAUGCAUGCAUUAGUUUAAACGCAUGACGUUAUUUUUUCACACUGUUUCAGAAUUAAACAUAAUGUGUAUAGUACGUUAUUAGGAAACACUUA
This is a long non-coding RNA of Dreissena polymorpha, 1156 nucleotides long. RefSeq lists it as uncharacterized. The transcript has 2 exons. The record is from RefSeq and is a predicted model, not a curated record. NCBI's taxonomy places the organism in Eukaryota, Metazoa, Mollusca, Bivalvia, Myida, Dreissenidae.